AGUGGGAUUACUGGGUCAAAUGGUGAUUUCAUUUCAAGUUUUUCUGAGAAAUCUCCAUACUGCUUUACAAAGUGGUUGCACCAAUUUGCAGUCCCACCAGCACU
This 104-nucleotide microRNA precursor is filed under the name Marmota monax (woodchuck). The record is from RNAcentral. Lineage: Eukaryota; Metazoa; Chordata; Mammalia; Rodentia; Sciuridae.